RNAcentral lists this transfer RNA (70 nucleotides) under Triticum aestivum (bread wheat). It matches the Rfam family "tRNA". From Rfam's summary of the family: Transfer RNA (tRNA) molecules are approximately 80 nucleotides in length. Their secondary structure includes four short double-helical elements and three loops (D, anti-codon, and T loops). Lineage: Eukaryota; Viridiplantae; Streptophyta; Magnoliopsida; Poales; Poaceae. RNAcentral also lists the same sequence under 1 other name. The record is from Rfam by way of RNAcentral.
GGUUUCGUAGUGUAGUGGUUAGCACUCGACUUUGAAUCUGGCGACCUGGGUUCGAAUCCCGGCGAGACCU